GACGAACGCUGGCGGCGUGCUUAACAUAUGCAAGUCGAACGGAAAGGCCUCUUUCGGGGGGUACUCGAGUGGCGAACGGGUGAGUAACACGUGAGUAACCUGCCCUUGACUUUGGGAUAACUUCAGGAAACUGGGGCUAACACCGGAUAGGAGCUCCUGCUGCAUGGUGGGGGGUGGAAAGUUUCGGCGGUUGGGGAUGGACUCGCGGCUUAUCAGCUUGUUGGUGGGGUAGUGGCUUACCAAGGCUUUGACGGGUAGCCGGCCUGAGAGGGUGACCGGCCACAUUGGGACUGAGAUACGGCCCAGACUCCUACGGGAGGCAGCAGUGGGGAAUAUUGCACAAUGGGUGGAAGCCUGAUGCAGCAACGCCGUGUGCGGGAUGACGGCCUUCGGGUUGUAAACCGCUUUCGCUCAUGACGAAGCUUUGUGUGACGGUAGUGGGUAAAGAAGCACCGGCUAACUACGUG
RNAcentral lists this ribosomal RNA (467 nucleotides) under uncultured bacterium. RNAcentral's name for it is "partial 16S ribosomal RNA". It matches the Rfam family "Bacterial small subunit ribosomal RNA", at positions 28 to 507 of the family's 1533-position model. The record is from RNAcentral.